UGGGGAAUAUUGCACAAUGGGCGCAAGCCUGAUGCAGCCAUGCCGCGUGUGUGAAGAAGGCCUUCGGGUUGUAAAGCACUUUCAGCGAGGAGGAAGGUGGUGAACUUAAUACGUUCAUCAAUUGACGUUACUCGCAGAAGAAGCACCGGCUAACUCCGUGCCAGCAGCCGCGGUAAUACGGAGGGUGCAAGCGUUAAUCGGAAUUACUGGGCGUAAAGCGCACGCAGGCGGUUUGUUAAGUCAGAUGUGAAAUCCCCGGGCUCAACCUGGGAACUGCAUUUGAAACUGGCAAGCUAGAGUCUCGUAGAGGGGGGUAGAAUUCCAGGUGUAGCGGUGAAAUGCGUAGAGAUCUGGAGGAAUACCGGUGGCGAAGGCGGCCCCCUGGACGAAGACUGACGCUCAGGUGCGAAAAGCGUGGGGAGCAAAACAGGAUUAGAUACCCUGGUAGUCCACGCUGUAAAACGAUGUCGAUUUUGGAGGUUGUGCCCUUGAGGCGUGGCUUCCGGAGCUAACGCGUUAAAUCGACCGCCUGGGGAGUACGGCCA
RNAcentral lists this ribosomal RNA (545 nucleotides) under uncultured bacterium. RNAcentral's name for it is "partial 16S ribosomal RNA". It matches the Rfam family "Bacterial small subunit ribosomal RNA", at positions 355 to 888 of the family's 1533-position model. The record is from RNAcentral.